This 1176-nucleotide long non-coding RNA is filed under the name Meriones unguiculatus (Mongolian gerbil). Its description in RNAcentral is "lncRNA (ENSMUGG00000004843.1)". The record is from RNAcentral. Lineage: Eukaryota; Metazoa; Chordata; Mammalia; Rodentia; Muridae.
AAGGAAAAAAAAAAAAGUGAAGAGGAAACUUGGUCCCUCCCUUCCCUUCCUGCUGAGGGGGAGCAUCCAGCUGUCACCUUCCCUCUGUGGAGGCCCAGAGACUCUCACGGCCUGCCCACUGCCACACAGCACCACUUGGCAUAUGGUGGGGAGACUUGCCUUGGCCUCCACUCAUCCCUGCAAUGGCUGCUCCUGGCGUGGCCCUCUAGGUCCAGGAAAGACGGAGGACUUGGGCAGAACACACAGCUUGGGCCUUCAUUCCCAUCCUCCUUGGCACUCCGCCAACCCAGCAAACAUGGAGAGUCCUCUUUGCUUCCCUUCAGGUCCCAGCAGCUGCGGCGGCACCAGACGCUUCUUCCAUAUUGCUACAGCCUAAGCAGGCAGGGCCUCAUCCUUUACUGACCAGGAUGGCGGUACUCCACAGGCCUCUCGGCGACACGGCCCUCCACCCCUGUGUCCAGGUGACCUGGCUUUGCCCACCUCCCUGGUUUCCUCACUGGCUGGAGUUUGUGUUUCUGGGUCAGAAGGUCCAGGGCAGUGACAGAACAGUACGGAGGAGAGCGACAGAGGCUGCUCUGGAAGCCAAGGAGGCAGGGACGGCGGGGUGCCGAAUGGGCAGUAUUUGCCACUUCUCCCCGAGGGCUUGGGCCGUGAGUGAGGGACCCCGGCUGACAGGUACCAGGGCACCAGGCAAAGACCCUCAUCUGAGACCUUCCUAGGGGUGCCUGAGGACAGAGCCACAGAGGGGCCUUUUCAGCCCUUCCCGGUGUCACCACCUGACUGCUGACAUUGUCAUUGGCCCACAGGUCUGGCUGGGGUCAGCUGAAGCCAGAGUGGAGGCUCCAAAGCUUCCCUCUACUGACCAUGUCCGCGGCCUGUGCAGCCACUGCCCUUGCUUGUGACCUUGGGAGCUAACAGGUGACCAGAGAGGGAGGGAAUCCAGAAGGCUAUGAGAGGUGAGUGAAGGCCUCUGGAAGAUGAGAAGUAGACAAGGCCUGAGUGACAGGUGGCAGGGCAGGAGACAGCAUGGCAGAGGUCGAGAGAAACCAGCUUGAAGUCACAGGACUGUGUUCCUCCCAUCCUGGCCCUGGGAACCUAGGGACCCUGGACAAGGGACAGGUAUUGGUUGGCUUCAGAGGAUGAGCUGGACCCUCGGAGGGACACCUUGUCCCAUUG